GUUCCUCAGAAAAACAUUCUCUGUCCAGGAAUGCCUCAGCAGUGGAAAAAAAAUCUUCUGGAAAUCAGAAAAAUGUUGACGACUCCAUAGGUCCCACUGCCCCUGUUUUCCAGAGCUGUGGCUGCUUGGCCAUCCCCCUUUGGAGGGCUGGCUGCCAGAUGUCUUAGGGACCUUACUAAGUCUUGCAUUCAGGCUCUUGGCCCUGAUGAAGCAGAAGCUGCCUGCAGGCAGCUUUUGGACAGCUGGAUGAAGAUAUCACUCAUCAACCAUCAGCCCUCUCCAGCCCUGGGAAAAGGUGGUGUGAUGGAAGGGCACUCUGUGCUGACCUGAGGAAUGCUGCAGCUUCUCCUGGGGUUUGACAGUGAAAGUCUCCCAUGAGAUCUCCUGAGACUGAGGUGGCAUGGAUCUUCAUUUGGAUUUCAGGAGACAUGAACAACAGCAGCCUGUGAAGACAACGCUUCUGUGAAGGACAAACCCUUCACCCUAUUUCAGUGCUUCCUUGAGGCACAUCUAUGUUCCUGGCUGUGGAAGGAGCCAGUGGGGACAGGACCGUGGACAUAAACAAGAUUUCAAGCAGCCUGAACCAUCUGAGGUCCCUCCCUGAUUGUUUUUAGGACAAACCCCUACUGCAGGCACUGGGAGGAAUUUCAAAUAAGUGGCCAAACAUCUCAGGAACUUGGUUCUGGUGCCCUGGAUCAACCAGCAGUGAUGGGAGCCCACUGGUAUGUGUGUGGAGGGGAGCAGAGACAGAAAGGAAGUAAUAUUGAGUCACAGCAGUCAAGAAAGAUCAAAGAUUGGCUAUUUUUGACACACAAAAGGAGCAUCCAUUUCACCGGUCCAAGCAGCAGAGAAGCUGUGGCACAUCUUAAUGCUACUGGGAAAAAUCAGCUCAUGAAGGUGUUGGCUUCCCUUCUGCUGCCAUGAUUGUUUUUAUUCCCAGAGGAAAGUCAUCCAAGUAGAAGAGAAACCUCAAAGCUUAAAGUGGAUCUGCUGAGAUAUUUGCUCUAUGUUUUGGGCUUUUUACAAAGUGGUCUGGAUCAAGGUUGGAAAUUGUGAUUGUUGUGUAAAAGCCCGAGAUCUCAGGGCAAUGCUGGUUUCUGGGCAUGUACUUGGGAGUGAGAAAUGCUAAGACUGUGCUUGCUGAACUUGAACCUCUUUUCAUUGGCAACAGAAAAUUUUGUCAGGUUGUUCCUCUCCACCUCAUGUGAAGACCAUCUACCUAUUUUAAUCACUUA
This is a non-coding RNA of Cyanistes caeruleus (blue tit), 1235 nucleotides long. Lineage: Eukaryota; Metazoa; Chordata; Aves; Passeriformes; Paridae. The record is from RefSeq and is a predicted model, not a curated record.